Salvelinus namaycush (lake trout) is the source of this 741-nucleotide long non-coding RNA. RefSeq lists it as uncharacterized. The record is from RefSeq and is a predicted model, not a curated record. Lineage: Eukaryota; Metazoa; Chordata; Actinopteri; Salmoniformes; Salmonidae. The transcript is spliced from 3 exons.
CAGAGAUUAAAGGAUCUGCAGAGAAGAAUGUGAGAAACUCCCCAAAUACAGGCCAACCAUGGCCAACUACUGGAGUGACUGGGAUCUAACACAGGAAGAGAAUGAGAGGUUCAACAACAUUUGGCUACUGAACAGGUGCCAUCUUACUGGCAGGGUUACGCUCGACACAGGAAGACGUGGCGGCCCCUGGUGAAGGCUGUCGAAGGACCCCACGAAUGGAGGAGCUGUUGAAAUGGGACAUGAUUGUGUCAUCAACCUGCGACAAAGUAACAAGACCGAUCAGAGAGAAAAAUUACUAGGCCUGUCUGAAUGAUUAAAUCGCUGGUUAAGAUUAUUAUACAGACACCACAUCUCAACAUACCCUGUAGAAAUCUUUGGUGUGGGUACUAUAAGUUGCAGAUCCCUUCCAAGAGAAGUGGUAGGAGGAGUCCAAUGGUGUAUUAGCAAGAGCUGGAAGGAUCUGGGAAACUGUAGUAUUAUCUGUAGAGAAGGAAUGGAUGGAUCACCAUCAGGAAAAUGUGUGUGUGUGUGUGUGUGUGUGUGUGUGUGUGUGUGUUUACCCUCUUUUGGUCGAAUGCAGACAAAUUUGUUUGUGACAGUGACGCAUGAAGGAUCCACAUUGACUCUGAAUAUCAACCAGCUCUCAAUGCAUUCACCAUAUCUGUAAAACAAACAAUUAAAUUGGUCAAAUCAAUGUUCCUUGAUGUGCUUUAACAAUACAUAACUAAAUAAAUCACUUUA